Molecule: ribosomal RNA, 207 nt
Filed under: uncultured delta proteobacterium
Lineage: Bacteria; Deltaproteobacteria
Description: partial 16S ribosomal RNA
Rfam family: Bacterial small subunit ribosomal RNA
Source: RNAcentral
CACGUAGGUGGACUUAUAAGUCAGAUGUGAAAUCUCGGGGCUCAACCUCGAAACUGCGUCUGAAACUGCAAGUCUAGAAUCUUGGAGGGGGCAGGGGAAUUUCACAUGUAGGGGUAAAAUCCGUAGAUAUGUGAAGGAACACCAGAGGCGAAGGCGCCUGCCUGGACAAGUAUUGACACUGAGGUGCGAAAGCGUGGGGAUCAAACA